GGAGUGUCAAGAAGGUUAGCUGAAUGUGGGUGCUGUCGGAUUUCUUUCUUUAGUUCACAGACCUCGGAAACUGACUGGAGCUUGAAAUCAACAUCCGGGAUUUCGAUCACGUGACUGCGACUGAUUAACUUGAAUCUGGACUGGAGGUAACUACGAAACAUGACGUCACAAAUUAGCACCACAGACUGGCAGUCGGGGAAAGAAUUUGCAGACGAACUUGUACAUGCUGGAACACGAGAUCGCCUGUGACGUCACGUUUAGAGUUGGGGACGAGCAGACGACAGUUCGAGCCCACAGGUUUAUGUUAAUCAGUCGCAGUCACGUGUUCUCAGCAAUGUUGUGUGGUUCAAUGGCUGAGACUGGCGAGAUUGAAAUCCCGGAUGUUGAUCCCGAUGUCUUUCGUCUGAUGCUGAGUUUAAAAAAAAAAAUGUUUGAUGGGGCCCAGACAGCACAACUACGUUGGCCCAACGUCGCCACGGCCGGCACUAUCGCUGUCGCCGGCCUAACGUUGCCAUGACGUUGGCAAAUGGUUGGUUCGGGCCGAUCUCGCCCCACCUUGCGACCGCGUGAUGAAAACUCUGAUCUUCACCUUCAGAAGUCAAUCAUUUGUGUUUGAACAGAAAAUAUUUCCAGCAUUAAUUUCGGGAAUUUAACCAGUCACGUUGCCUAUUUGAAUUCUUUGGACGCAUAACACCAAAGGAUGUAAUUGAGAUAAUGAUGGAGUGCAUAUUCACCCAGUCCUUCGUCUGUCAGUACAACUGGGUUGGCAGGAGAAAGAAAAAAACGGCAUCGGGAAAUUAAUUCUCAGAAAGGUGAUAAAAGAUGCUGCCAAAAACAGCAACAUGAAAGAGGCAGGAGCGGAACUGCAUCUUAGAGAUUGGUUAAGAUAUGCAUGUGACCGAAGUGAGGGCCGCAAAAAGAA
Molecule: long non-coding RNA, 922 nt
Organism: Gigantopelta aegis
Lineage: Eukaryota; Metazoa; Mollusca; Gastropoda; Neomphalida; Peltospiridae
Exons: 6
Source: RefSeq, a predicted model, not a curated record